UGCCAGCAGCCGCGGUAACACGGGGGGCGCAAGCGUUAUUCGGAUUUAUUAGGUUUAAAGGGUACGUAGGUGGAUUCUUAAGUCCGUGGUGAAAGCCCGCAGCUCAACUGCGGAACUGCCAUGGAUACUGGGAAUCUUGAAUUCAGUUGAGGUUGGCGGAAUUUAUGGUGUAGCGGUGAAAUGCAUAGAUACCAUAAAGAACACCUAUUGCGAAGGCAGCUAACUGGACUUGAAUUGACACUGAGGUACGAAAGCGUGGGGAGCGAACAGGAUUAGAUA
This 279-nucleotide ribosomal RNA is filed under the name uncultured bacterium. Its description in RNAcentral is "partial 16S ribosomal RNA". It matches the Rfam family "Bacterial small subunit ribosomal RNA", at positions 506 to 784 of the family's 1533-position model. The record is from RNAcentral.